Molecule: ribosomal RNA, 389 nt
Filed under: Dinophyceae sp.
Lineage: Eukaryota; Dinophyceae
Description: partial small subunit ribosomal RNA
Rfam family: Eukaryotic small subunit ribosomal RNA
Source: RNAcentral
AUUCCAGCUCCAAUAGCGUAUAUUAAAGUUGUUGCGGUUAAAAAGCUCGUAGUUGGAUUUCUGCUGAGGACGACUGGUCCGCCCCCUGGGUGAGCAUCUGGUUCGGCCUGGGCAUCUUCUUGGGGAACGUAUCUGCACUUGAUUGUGUGGUGCGGUAUCCAGGACUUUUACUUUGAGGAAAUUAGAGUGUUUCAAGCAGGCCCGCGCCUUGAAUACAUUAGCAUGGAAUAAUAAGAUAGGACCUCGGUUCUAUUUUGUUGGUUUCUAGAGCUGAGGUAAUGAUUAAUAGGGACAGUUGGGGGCACUCAUAUUCCAUUGUCAGAGGUGAAAUUCUUGGAUUAACGGAAGAUGAACUUCUGCGAAAGCAUCUGCCAAGGAUGUUUUCAUUA